GCGGGAACCGUGAUAGCUACCCCGAGUGCCCGUAAUCGCGGGCUGUCCGGGUGUGUAAAAAGCACCCGAAGAAAGGGCCGGGCAAGACCGGUGCCAGCCGCCGCGGUAAUACCGGCGGCUCGAGUGGUGACCACUUUUAUUGGGCUUAAAGCGUCCGUAGCUGGAUUGUUAAGUCUCUUGGGAAAUCUCACGGCUUAACCGUGAGGCGUCUAAGAGAUACUGGCAAUCUUGGGACCGGAAGAGGUGAGAGGUACUCCGGGGGUAGGAGUGAAAUCCUGUAAUCCUCGGGGGACCACCUGUGGCGAAGGCGUCUCACCAGGACGGCUCCGACAGUGAGGGACGAAAGCUGGGGGAGCAAACCGGAUUAGAUACCCGGGUAGUCCCAGCCGUAAACGAUGCGCGUUAGGUGUAUCGGCGACCACGAGUCGCUGAGGUGCCGAAGGGAAACCGUGAAACGUGCCGCCUGGGAAGUACGGUCGCAAGGCUGAAACUUAAAGGAAUUGGUGGGGGAGCACCACAACGGGUGGAGCCUGCGGUUUAAUUGGAUUCCAACGCCGGAAAA
RNAcentral lists this ribosomal RNA (562 nucleotides) under uncultured Methanomicrobiales archaeon. RNAcentral describes it as "bacterial SSU rRNA". It matches the Rfam family "Archaeal small subunit ribosomal RNA", at positions 357 to 925 of the family's 1478-position model. Lineage: Archaea; Methanobacteriati; Methanobacteriota; Methanomicrobia; Methanomicrobiales. The record is from RNAcentral.